AGUGAACGCUGGCGGUAGGCCUAACACAUGCAAGUCGAACGGCAGCACAGUAAGAGCUUGCUCUUACGGGUGGCGAGUGGCGGACGGGUGAGGAAUACAUCGGAAUCUACUUUUUCGUGGGGGAUAACGUAGGGAAACUUACGCUAAUACCGCAUACGACCUACGGGUGAAAGCAGGGGAUCUUCGGACCUUGCGCGAUUGAAUGAGCCGAUGUCGGAUUAGCUAGUUGGCGGGGUAAAGGCCCACCAAGGCGACGAUCCGUAGCUGGUCUGUGAGGAUGAUCAGCCACACUGGAACUGAGACACGGUCCAUACUCCUACGGGAGGCAGCAGUGGGGAAUAUUGGACAAUGGGCGCAAGCCUGAUCCAGCCAUACCGCGUGGGUGAAGAAGGCCUUCGGGUUGUAAAGCCCUUUUGUUGGGAAAGAAAAGCAGCAGGUUAAUACCCCGCUGUUCUGACGGUACCCAGAGAAUAAGCACCGGCUAACUUCGUG
RNAcentral lists this ribosomal RNA (492 nucleotides) under uncultured bacterium. RNAcentral describes it as "partial 16S ribosomal RNA". It matches the Rfam family "Bacterial small subunit ribosomal RNA", at positions 29 to 507 of the family's 1533-position model. The record is from RNAcentral.